GGGGCUAUAGCUCAGCUGGGAGAGCACUUGCGUGGCACGCAAGAGGUCGUCGGUUCGAUCCCGACUAGCUCCACCA
RNAcentral lists this transfer RNA (76 nucleotides) under Colwellia sp. RNAcentral describes it as "tRNA-Ala". It matches the Rfam family "tRNA". From Rfam's summary of the family: Transfer RNA (tRNA) molecules are approximately 80 nucleotides in length. Their secondary structure includes four short double-helical elements and three loops (D, anti-codon, and T loops). Further hydrogen bonds mediate the characteristic L-shaped molecular structure. tRNAs have two regions of fundamental functional importance: the anti-codon, which is responsible for specific mRNA codon recognition, and the 3' end, to which the tRNAs corresponding amino acid is attached (by aminoacyl-tRNA synthetases). tRNAs cope with the degeneracy of the genetic code in two manners: having more than one tRNA (with a specific anti-codon) for a particular amino acid; and 'wobble' base-pairing, i.e. permitting non-standard base-pairing at the 3rd anti-codon position. RNAcentral also lists the same sequence under 4 other names. Lineage: Bacteria; Pseudomonadati; Pseudomonadota; Gammaproteobacteria; Alteromonadales; Colwelliaceae. The record is from RNAcentral.